Molecule: ribosomal RNA, 564 nt
Filed under: uncultured fungus
Lineage: Eukaryota; Fungi
Description: eukaryotic LSU rRNA
Rfam family: 5.8S ribosomal RNA (bases 209-362)
Source: RNAcentral
UUGGUCAUUUAGAGGAAGUAAAAGUCGUAACAAGGUUUCCGUAGGUGAACCUGCGGAAGGAUCAUUACCUAGAGUUGUAGGCUUUGCCUGCUAUCUCUUACCCAUGUCUUUUGAGUACCUUACGUUUCCUCGGUGGGUUCGCCCACCGAUUGGACAAACUUAAACCCUUUGCAGUUGAAAUCAGCGUCUGAAAAAACUUAAUAGUUACAACUUUCAACAACGGAUCUCUUGGUUCUGGCAUCGAUGAAGAACGCAGCGAAAUGCGAUAAGUAGUGUGAAUUGCAGAAUUCAGUGAAUCAUCGAAUCUUUGAACGCACAUUGCGCCCCUUGGUAUUCCAUGGGGCAUGCCUGUUCGAGCGUCAUUUGUACCUUCAAGCUCUGCUUGGUGUUGGGUGUUUGUCUCCUGUAGACUCGCCUUAAAACAAUUGGCAGCCGGCGUAUUGAUUUCGGAGCGCAGUACAUCUCGCGCUUUGCACUCAUAACGACGACAUCCAAAAGUACAUUUUUACACUCUUGACCUCGGAUCAGGUAGGGAUACCCGCUGAACUUAAGCAUAUCAAUAAG